UGGGGAAUAUUGGACAAUGGGCGAAAGCCUGAUCCAGCCAUGCCGCGUGUGUGAAGAAGGCCUUUUGGUUGUAAAGCACUUUAAGCGAGGAGGAGGCUACUUGGAUUAAUACUCUAGGAUAGUGGACGUUACUCGCAGAAUAAGCACCGGCUAACUCUGUGCCAGCAGCCGCGGUAAUACAGAGGGUGCGAGCGUUAAUCGGAUUUACUGGGCGUAAAGCGUGCGUAGGCGGCUUUUUAAGUCGGAUGUGAAAUCCCUGAGCUUAACUUAGGAAUUGCAUUCGAUACUGGGAAGCUAGAGUAUGGGAGAGGAUGGUAGAAUUCCAGGUGUAGCGGUGAAAUGCGUAGAGAUCUGGAGGAAUACCGAUGGCGAAGGCAGCCAUCUGGCCUAAUACUGACGCUGAGGUACGAAAGCAUGGGGAGCAAACAGGAU
RNAcentral lists this ribosomal RNA (432 nucleotides) under Brucella melitensis. RNAcentral's name for it is "partial 16S ribosomal RNA". It matches the Rfam family "Bacterial small subunit ribosomal RNA", at positions 355 to 778 of the family's 1533-position model. RNAcentral also lists the same sequence under 3 other names. Lineage: Bacteria; Pseudomonadati; Pseudomonadota; Alphaproteobacteria; Hyphomicrobiales; Brucellaceae. The record is from RNAcentral.